GAGCGCGCGCGCGCCCGAGGGCGAGCCCAUACCCGCGCGAGGAGCGGCCACUUUCCGUGUCGUCGAGGCGAGAGGAGCGCGGCCACCAGCUUGAAUAGGUGACGCCCUGGGCCUGUUGGCGGUUACGCUUCCUCCUGCAGAUUGUUCCAUGAAACACAGCGCUGGAGCAGAGACUACCAUCCUUGGCUGACGCCUCUCGAAUCCAGCCCACAGCCAGUAUCCGGCAUGCCGCCACAUGGGCAGUUAUAUGCACUCAUUAUGGCUCUUCGGUAUUUUUUCAGCGUUUUUUUUCUUUCUUUUUUUUUUUUUUUUGCCAGCCCCGAAAAGCUGCUUCUUUGUAUGUGGCGAUGUGGGACGAAGAGGACGACCGUGAGCGAUCGGGGAGACCUGCCUCUCGGUCCAGUGUUGGCACGGCGACACACACUACCUCUUUCCUCCCACUCCAAACGGUAUAAAUAGAAGGUGGAGCAUCAGUGAUCUGCUCUGCUGGGCCUAUGGAGAAGAUAGGAAAUGCAGCAUUCAUCUCACACACCCUGCAGCUACGGAGCGGAGAGACCGAGGUGGCGAAGGCGGUUCGAGAGCGGAAUCGGCUGAGCGUCUACGGGGGACGUGCGGAUCAAAGGGACGUCUCUUCGGCAGGAAAUGAUUAUUCCUAUAAGUGGAAAACGCUGCAAAUGGCUUAAUUGUACUUCUCUGCACAGGUGCAGCAGGGUAAUUAAAGCUUAGUAACCCCUGCCCCCCCCACCCCCAUGAUGCUCAGAGAGAAAAGUAGUUUUUCAUGUGCUUGUAAUUGUGCUGCUCCAAUAAGUGAAGAAAUGGAUGGGUUCCCGCCCCCUGCGGACCUCCGCAAAGGUCUUCAUGGCCGUGGUCCUCGGUUUCCGAUGGCGUUCCGUUCCAGCAGCCCAGUCGUAUGAACCGUAAGGAUCCGUAAACAUCCAGCAUGUGCGGAUGAUACGUUGUAUAAUAGGGCCUUGUUAUAUUUUUCAAAAAUUUUGCACAUUUUUCCUGUUAAACUAAUAUUCAGUUAUAUAAAUCCAGUAGGGUUUUUGUAACCGUAUUUUCAUGUUACGCUAUUUAGUUUAUUUUCAUCUGCUUCAUUUUCACUCGUCAACGUUUUCCGCUCAGCCGCGCUAGAUGACCGACGCGUCUACCUGCUCGCUGUUUUAAAUAAAAAGUAGCUCGGAGCGAAUCGCAAGCGGUUUUGUGAGACUGCAGUGGCUGCUGGAGACCCAAAAAGCGAGCGAAACCCCACGCGUGCGCUUCCCUACGGCGGCACGGCCAGCCGAUGUCGUCGCGCAGCCGAAGGAGCGGUCGACGUCAGAUGUUCCGACCAAAACGUAAAUUUAAAAAAAAAAAAGCGAUACGGUUAAUUUGACAGCGGUUGUAAGCGCAAGGUGGUGCGUCGUCGCUCGAGGAACACCUGUACCGCCUUUUCAGCUCGUUGCGCCGAGCGAUGGGAUCGGCUUAUUGCUUUUCUCGAAAUCGGAAUCGGGACUGUAGCGUACGGCGGGUGGGGAACAACUGCGGGUAGAUUUACCGCAAGUUCCAUUUCCAUUUUCCCUAAUUAUGGCGACACAAAAUCCUUACUUGAACAACUAUGCGAACGGAGGAGGUUUCGUAGUCGUCACAACAUCCGAAACGGCCAAACAUUUUCUACUGGCCUGCAAGGUUUUCGCACAAAAAUGUCAUUUAAUUAAAAAUGUCCAUUUUUAUUUUUUUUUUAUUAGAAAGCCUCGAUAACACAAACUUCAGGCAAACCAGCAUCCGCAAACACGUCACUGUCCCACUGCUGUCGCCACCCAGUGGGGCCCUUCAUGGCGCCGUCACGAUGCGAGUGGCCGCACCCGGGGCUCGGCGCUCCGUUCGUAGGCUCCUCCCAGGUGCAGCCGUGAGUCGUGCCGAGUGGGCGCGGCCAUGCGUUCGCCUCCUACGUGGACCCUGUUCGUUCGUUCUCUUCGAGACCACAGAAUCCUGACAUUUAUCAGUCCGUCCAUCCAUCUAGCCCGACGGUCACCAAAGACAUUUCUUCUCAGUCAUACAGCAACUUCCCGUUUGUUACGCAGCUGUCGGACGCCUGCCAAAGGUAAUAUACGCGAGCGUUUGCCGCGCACGUCCUGCCGUUUUACCGCGAAAGAUUUCAAAGGGCUGAACGAAGAUGUCGCACCGCAAUAUAAUGGACAGCAUGAGACAAAAAUUGUUUUGUAUCAGUUUUAUUUGCAUGUCUGUUAAUGUCACGAUGACGGCGUC
Scleropages formosus (Asian bonytongue) is the source of this 2247-nucleotide long non-coding RNA. RefSeq lists it as uncharacterized. Lineage: Eukaryota; Metazoa; Chordata; Actinopteri; Osteoglossiformes; Osteoglossidae. The transcript has 3 exons. The record is from RefSeq and is a predicted model, not a curated record.